AGAGUUUGAUCCUGGCUCAGGACGAACGCUGGCGGCGUGCUUAACACAUGCAAGUCGAACGAGAGGACAAGAGGAGCUUGCUUCUUUUGGAAUCGAGUGGCAAACGGGUGAGUAACACGUAAACAACCUGCCUUCAGGAUGGGGACAACAGACGGAAACGACUGCUAAUACCGAAUACGCUUGGGAGACCGCAUGAUCUUCCAAGGAAAGGGUGGCCUCUACCUGUAAGCUAUCGCCUGAAGAGGGGUUUGCGUCUGAUUAGGCAGUUGGUGAGGUAACGGCCCACCAAACCUACGAUCAGUAGCCGGUCUGAGAGGAUGAACGGCCACACUGGAACUGAGACACGGUCCAGACUCCUACGGGAGGCAGCAGUGGGGAAUCUUCCGCAAUGGGCGAAAGCCUGACGGAGCAACGCCGCGUGAGUGAUGACGGCCUUCGGGUUGUAAAGCUCUGUGAUCGGGGACGAACGGUCCGUAAGCCAAUACCUUAUGGAAGUGACGGUACCCGAAUAGCAAGCCACGGCUAACUACGCGCCAGCAGCCGCGGUAAUACGUAGGUGACAAGCGUUGUCCGGAUUUACUGGGUGUAAAGGGCGCGUAGGCGGACUGUCAAGUCAGUCGUGAAAUACCGGGGCUUAACCCCGGGGCUGCGAUUGAAACUGACAGCCUUGAGUAUCGGAGAGGAAAGCGGAAUUCCUAGUGUAGCGGUGAAAUGCGUAGAUAUUAGGAGGAACACCAGUGGCGAAGGCGGCUUUCUGGACGACAACUGACGCUGAGGCGCGAAAGUGUGGGGAGCAAACAGGAUUAGAUACCCUGGUAGUCCACACCGUAAACGAUGGAUACUAGGUGUAGGAGGUAUCGACCCCUUCUGUGCCGCAGUUGACACAAUAAGUAUCCCACCUGGGGAGUACGACCGCAAGGUUGAAACUCAAAGGAAUUGACGGGGGCCCGCACAAGCAGUAGAGUAUGUGGUUUAAUUCGAAGCAACGCGAAGAACCUUACCUGGGCUUGACAUCCCUGGAAUCGAGUAGAGAUACUUGAGUGCCUUCGGGAAUCAGGUGACAGGUGGUGCAUGGUUGUCGUCAGCUCGUGUCGUGAGAUGUUGGGUUAAGUCCCGCAACGAGCGCAACCCCUAUUGUCAGUUGCCAUCAUUAAGUUGGGCACUCUGGCGAGACUGCCGGUGACAAAUCGGAGGAAGGUGGGGACGACGUCAAAUCAUCAUGCCCCUUACGCCCAGGGCUACACACGUACUACAAUGGCCGAUAACAAAGUGCAGCGAAACCGUGAGGUGGAGCGAAUCACAAAACUCGGUCUCAGUUCAGAUUGCAGGCUGCAACUCGCCUGCAUGAAGUUGGAAUUGCUAGUAAUCGCGGAUCAGAAUGCCGCGGUGAAUACGUUCCCGGGCCUUGUACACACCGCCCGUCACACCAUGAGAGUCGAUAACACCCGAAGCCUGUGAGCUAACCGUAAGGAGGCAGCAGUCGAAGGUGGGGUUGAUGAUUGGGGUGAAGUCGUAACAAGGUA
Molecule: ribosomal RNA, 1523 nt
Filed under: metagenome
Description: bacterial SSU rRNA
Rfam family: Bacterial small subunit ribosomal RNA
Source: RNAcentral